UAUUCAAUCCAAGUUUAAUACGAGAUCAAUCUCAUCAUAUCUGUUUUUAUGACAAAUUAACAUCAACGGACAUAUGCAUUGAUUAAGGUGGGUCAUUUUCAGUUUACGGCUGCGUCACAUACUUAAUAAAUUGAUUGGAGAGAAAUGUCAAAAAUGCAUGUGCCAGAUAGAAGACGUCAAACGGAGAAAAGUGUAUGCAAGCGAAAUCAUUCAAUUGCACAUUUAUUGUCCAUCGGAGAAAUCCAGAACCAAAUCAAUCAUUGGUGAUAUUUUCAAAAACGCAAUUUAGUUUUGUCACAAUUUUCGAAACAUCGACGAUAUUUCAAUGAAUCGAACAGAUCCGGAAAAUUUGCGUUGGCACGCAUAUUACAUUUGCAGGACCCAAUUUAAAGAACUAUUUUGUUGCAAAUAUCAAUACGUCAACCAAGCUCCAAAUACACCGAAGAAUUGUCCAAAAUGUAAAACAGUAAAUUUUCCAGAGAAUCAGCUAUGUUUCCAUAAAGAUGGACCAGUUCUAAAUCUAAUCAAUAAUGUCACACUUCCUUUAUCAUAAAUCGAACAUUCAAUAUCAUAAUCAACAUUGUUUUAUCACAAAAUAACAUUGAAUAAAUAAGACAACGGAUCUUUUGGAAAAAUACCAGAUAAA
This is a long non-coding RNA of Sitodiplosis mosellana (orange wheat blossom midge), 646 nucleotides long. RefSeq lists it as uncharacterized. The transcript has 2 exons. NCBI's taxonomy places the organism in Eukaryota, Metazoa, Arthropoda, Insecta, Diptera, Cecidomyiidae. The record is from RefSeq and is a predicted model, not a curated record.